This 217-nucleotide ribosomal RNA is filed under the name uncultured bacterium. Its description in RNAcentral is "partial 16S ribosomal RNA". It matches the Rfam family "Bacterial small subunit ribosomal RNA", at positions 524 to 740 of the family's 1533-position model. The record is from RNAcentral.
UACGAAGGGGGCUAGCGUUGUUCGGAUUUACUGGGCGUAAAGCGCACGUAGGCGGAUCGUUAAGUCGGGGGUGAAAUCCUGGAGCUCAACUCCAGAACUGCCUUCGAUACUGGCGAUCUUGAGUCCGGAAGAGGUGAGUGGAACUCCUAGUGUAGAGGUGGAAUUCGUAGAUAUUAGGAAGAACACCAGUGGCGAAGGCGGCUCACUGGUCCGGUAC